CAUAUGAUGAGAAUAUAAUAUAAUUUAAUAUCUACAUAUGUAUAUAUUGCCUAACUUUCUACACAUUGAUCCAUCAUUUCCCAGGAAUCAUUUUUAGGAGCCAUCUUGAAUAUCAGAGUGACAAUUGCAGCCACUGUACUGUAUAGUGCACAGUACAUACAACUGUACAUAGCAACUUUUAUCACCGUGAUGUAACAUGUGUGGAACACUUACCAUAUUCCAGUUGUUUCCAUGAACUACUCAAGGAAUUUUCAUAACUGCCUUGUGAAAUUUUACUGUGUGUUUAUACAUGAAGGUACCGAGGUUCGGAAACUGGGGAUGGUAGACAAAUAUAAUUUAUCAAGGGAAAAAACGAUUCUGUAAUAAGGAAGGGUGGUUAGCAAAUGUGCUCUACCUAUGAUCCUCAAAGAGGGGACAUUUCUUCUGGGGGAGGGAGGUGCAUUAUCAAACUCUUCAUGCGUGGGGUGAUGAAGUGUAUGGGAAGGUUACACAAAAAUCAUUCUCAAUAUUUUAUUUUAUGGGGCUGGGGUGGUGGCUCAGUGAUAGAGCGCUUGCCUAGUACACGUGGGGCACUGGGUUUGAGCCUCAGCACCAUAUAAAAAUAAGUAAAUAAAUUAAUGAAAUAAACGUACUGUGAAAAAAAUUUUAAUUUCAUACUUGCAAAUUAAAUAAAACUAAUAAUUUUAAAAAUAUAAUUGAGGGAAAACAAUUAUAUUUUGAAGGGUCUUGCCAUGUAGUCAUAUAGAGAAGAUAUUUCUAUAUUU
RNAcentral lists this long non-coding RNA (764 nucleotides) under Marmota monax (woodchuck). The record is from RNAcentral. Lineage: Eukaryota; Metazoa; Chordata; Mammalia; Rodentia; Sciuridae.